GGGGAUUUAGCUCAGGGGUAGAGCGCUUGCCUAGCAAGCGCAAGGCCCUGGGUUCGGUUCCCAGCUCCA
RNAcentral lists this transfer RNA (69 nucleotides) under Rattus norvegicus (Norway rat). It matches the Rfam family "tRNA". Rfam says of the family: Transfer RNA (tRNA) molecules are approximately 80 nucleotides in length. Their secondary structure includes four short double-helical elements and three loops (D, anti-codon, and T loops). Lineage: Eukaryota; Metazoa; Chordata; Mammalia; Rodentia; Muridae. The record is from Rfam by way of RNAcentral.